GAGUGGAGCUUGCUCCAUGAUUCAGCGGCGGACGGGUGAGUAAUGCCUAGGAAUCUGCCUGGUAGUGGGGGACAACGUUUCGAAAGGAACGCUAAUACCGCAUACGUCCUACGGGAGAAAGCAGGGGACCUUCGGGCCUUGCGCUAUCAGAUGAGCCUAGGUCGGAUUAGCUAGUUGGUGAGGUAAAGGCUCACCAAGGCGACGAUCCGUAACUGGUCUGAGAGGAUGAUCAGUCACACUGGAACUGAGACACGGUCCAGACUCCUACGGGAGGCAGCAGUGGGGAAUAUUGGACAAUGGGCGAAAGCCUGAUCCAGCCAUGCCGCGUGUGUGAAGAAGGUCUUCGGAUUGUAAAGCACUUUAAGUUGGGAGGAAGGGCAGUAAGUUAAUACCUUGCUGUUUUGACGUUACCGACAGAAUAAGCACCGGCUAACUUCGUGCCAGCAGCCGCGGUAAUACGAAGGGUGCAAGCGUUAAUCGGAAUUACUGGGCGUAAAGCGCGCGUAGGUGGUUCAGCAAGUUGGAUGUGAAAGCCCCGGGCUCAACCUGGGAACUGCAUC
Molecule: ribosomal RNA, 560 nt
Filed under: Pseudomonas sp.
Lineage: Bacteria; Pseudomonadati; Pseudomonadota; Gammaproteobacteria; Pseudomonadales; Pseudomonadaceae
Description: bacterial SSU rRNA
Rfam family: Bacterial small subunit ribosomal RNA
Source: RNAcentral